This is a long non-coding RNA of Canis lupus familiaris (dog), 5588 nucleotides long. RefSeq lists it as uncharacterized. The transcript has 8 exons. The record is from RefSeq and is a predicted model, not a curated record. Lineage: Eukaryota; Metazoa; Chordata; Mammalia; Carnivora; Canidae.
CCUCGGGGACGCCCAGCCCGCCCGGCCCCGCGGCCCCGCCAAGGUCACCCGACCGCGUGCGACCCGCCCCAGCCCCGCUGACCAGCCGCAGGCUCCGCAGCGCCGGGUGCUCCCGCAUGGAGCGGCUCAGCAGCUCGGCGGUCUCAGCCCACGAGAAGGGAGAAAGCAUCGCCUCGGAGCCCUGCAGCGCCUUUUCCAGGGGCCUGAAACCACACCUGGAGCGUCUGACUCCCUGCUGUACUCAAAAUUACGCCCUCCAAAAGUGAGGCCUGAUUUUCCUCAGGGGUGAGCUUUCUUGCAGGAGGUGCCCCGUCCCAUGUGGCAGGCCCAGCCCCUCCCCUCCCAAUGGAAAACUGGCAGAAAGGCAGAUGCCUCCUGGGAGAGAAAGGACAAGACUCCACUUCUUCCUGUGUAGGAUUUGAAGGUAUUAAGAACUUUUGGAAGAUCUCCCUCUGCCUCUCUGAGGACACUUGUCAUCGAAUUUAGGAUCCACCUAGAUAAUACAGGACAAGCUCCUCCGGAGAUCCUCUGCUUACUCACACCUUUUGCCAUAGAAGGUCUGACUCCUCAAGCUUUGCUAUUUUCUCUUCCUUUCACUGUUCAAGAGGCUCUUUCACUCACCUGAGGAUCCCCUGAAGUGCUUAGCCCGAUGAGGGAGAUGACAGCUGGAUGCCAGGGAAACAGCCUGUUCUCUACAGCUGGACAGACUGCGCUCAGUUCCCGGUUCCACCACGGACUGACUGUGUGAUCUUGAGCGAAUUGCUCUACUUCUCUGGGUCUCCAGCUUUUUGUUGGUAGAAUGGGAAAAUAUUAUCUACUUCCUGGGAUUGUGGGCCUCAGUGGGAAAAUAGAACAGUUCCUCUGGAAGUGUCAAGAAGGAAGAGGAUCCCUUGGGAAGGUGGACGGUGGGGUCCAUCCUGGACACAUGCCUCACUGAAGCCCUUGCUGAGGUCUUACCUGUCCAUUGCUCACUUAGCAUAAGCUCACUGGAGGUCAGGUGAAUAAACAGAUAACUCUCCCAGAGACAGCUGGUCAACCCCAAUCACAGCCCUCCAGCGGAGCACUUGCGCUGUCUUUAGGAGCCUAGGCCGGGAAGGACUUUGGUUUUCUCUUGAACUUUCUGGGUGAGUUAUACGCAGCAGGUGUAGCUUGCUAAUGCUCCAAGUGCCUUCCCCACUCUGCACUGGGAGGCCCAGGAAAAUGUGCCUGAGGGCUCCCCACAGGUUGUUGCGUGGGGUGGUGGCAGAAAAGUUACCUCCGUGCCCACCAGACAAGUGUACGUGGAAUGACCCCAUAGCAGCAUUUUGAGGGAUUGGUGGUGGUGGGGGGGGACUUCAUGAUUCCUUAAGAAGUCGGUUGAACUUCAUACCGACAAAUGUGAAAGUUUAGCUAAAAUGGACAAAGUCCUAGAAAAACACAAAAGAUCAAAACUGAGAAAAGAAUAUAGAAAGCCUAAAUAAUCUUAAAACUAUUAAAAAAAAUCUGGCUGCUUCAUUAAAGAUCUCCCCACAGAGAAAACACCAGGCUCCAGCUGCAGUUCUUCCUUUGGCAGUUAUUGGGCAUUUGCUGGUAUUACAGCCAAAAAUUUGAUCUAUAUUCACUUUCUUAGGCCUGUGUCCCACACACUCCUGAGAUAAGGAGAGCUAUGUUGGAAUCCUCUUUCCCACCCUUACCCCAGAAGGGAGGUCACGCAGCAUCCUUUUCAUAAAUCCCUCCUAUUUCUUCAAUGGUUUGAGUGGGUAACCCAAAGAAGUUUUAUGAGAAUAUUAAGAGUCUAUGUGUUCAGCAAGUCACCUAUAUUGAUUUUAUUCAAUGUACACAAGCGUGCAAGACACACAUUAUUAUUCCCGUCUGAGGUUCAGAGGAGUGGACUAAUUUGUCCACAUCACAGAGUUAGUGAGAAGGGAUAAGGGAAAGAUGGAACCCAGGAGCAUCUGCCUCCAAAGCCUGUUCCUUUCCUGCUGUACCCCACUGCUGUCCACAACAAGCCUGUUUCUUCCUCGAGGAAAGAACAUCAUGAUGGAAUCCUCUCCUCCCCCAGCCCCUCUUUCCAGGUUGCAGCAUCUAGGUCAGAAUUCCAUGUCCCUCCCACCCUGGUUACAACGCUCAGGGAUUUCUUCAGUUGGUCAAUGACCCUCUUUGCAUAGCAGCCCCCAGAACUGAGGCUGGCAUUCAAGGCAUGGUUGGCUAUUGUGUUUACCUAUUGCUGGGUUAAAAAUGACCCAAACUUAGUGGCAAACCAUAUAUUAUACCCACUUGACUGUGGGUCAGCAAUUGGAGUAGGGUACAGCAGCAAUGCCUUGUUUCUGCUCCAUGGUUUCAUCUGGAAGACCUGAAGGCUGAAGGUGACUCAGUUGCUGGAGGCUCCUUGGCUCAGGUAUGUGAUCGCUGGUGCUGGCUGUUGGCUGUGACCUUAGCUGGGACCGUUGGCCAGAAUAUCUCUGUGCAGCCUUUCCAUAUGGCUUUGGCUUCCUCCCAGUUUCGUGGCUAGACUCCUGCGUGGGAGAGCCGGGAGAAAGCCUGUGUUGCCUCUUCUGACUUAGGUGUACACUAUCACAUGGGUGACAUACGGUUCGCUGAGGCAGCCACAAAGUCCUACCCAAUUUCAAAAGAGGAGAGAUAGACUCUACUUCUGGAUGGGCAAGUGUCGAGGUUCUAAAAGAGCAGGUGGGACUGGAAAUAACUGCUGUGGCCAUUUCUGGAAAAUACAGCGUGCCUCAUGGGGCCUCGCUCAGAGGAAGCUUUCCAUACAAGAGGACUUGAGAGUAUCACAAUGUCAUUCAUUCAGUCAACACACAGCGAUCGAAGUGUCUUCCACGUGCCGGGUCCUCAGUGUACUCCCCCCCACCCCUCCCAACCACUCCCCAAGAGGCCCUGAGAGAUUUGAUCAAGAUGAGGGAACUUUGGGCUUAAUUCUCUCCAACCUUCUGGGAAACAUUGCUCUGGGUCGCUGUGGCUACAGUUCAGAGAAUAAUUUCUCUCUCUGGGGGCUGCUGUUAAAUUGAAGUUUUAUACUCCUAUUCCUGAGAAAGCAGGUAUAUUGAACAACUAAACAGUUUCUGCUUUUUGAAGAAAAAAAUUUUUGUUUUUUACUUCUAUACAGCUCUUAUUUUUGUUGGCCCACAAAAGUCUUGGGUCCCUCAACAGGAGGGAGAUUCCUGCCCUUUUGAUGAGACUCAGAAGCACGGUAAUCCAUUUGUGAAUUAGCUCUCUGCAGCGUCGAGGGGGAAGCUGGGAGAGCUCCUCUACCCCCUUUUCUUUAGCGCAUGAGCUAAACGGGUUCACUUGCUAGCACCCUGAAAAAUGUGAUGAUCUGGUCACGACAAGCUGAGGUGUAGUGAGCAUAAUAAUCACAAUACUAACCAGGACGUAUCAUACUCCAGGCUCCGGCCUGAGCAUUUUACGCACUGUCCCAUUUAAACCUCCUAACGGUGCUAUGAGGAAGGUACUAAAAUUGUUUUUACGGAUGAGGACACUACCUACUAAGGUUCAGAGAAGCUAGACAAUUUACCCAGGGGUACACAGCUAGGAAUUGGUGGAAUUGGGACUUGAAUCCAGAGAUUCAAAUGGACUCCAGAGACUGUUCUCUUAACAUCUAUCUGGCUAUGCUGUACAGAAACAGGCUGGUCAGCUUAAAGGGAGGGGUAAGAAUCAGAGUACAACAGGCUCUGGGUUUUGGGUCUCUCUUGGUUGGGUGACUCAUUCUGCUGCCUCAGUCUUCUCAUUCAUAAAUGGGGAUGAUACUUACCUGAGCGAGUUGUGUAAAACACCAGUAUAGUCCUCCAGACCCAGUGGAUGCCCAGUGGAUGCUCAGGGGACUAGGGGAGUCCCCUUCCCUUUCUCCUUCCUUCGUAAUGUGCCUUGGUCUCCCUUCCCAGAAGUAGGGGGAUGGACAGGAGUAUUUUCUUACCCAUAGCUGCUCUAAAAUCCCUGGUUCCCUAAGCUCCUGCUGGAUUUCAGGACUCCAAUCCCUCUCCAUCGUGCUUUUCAUUGGGAGAACUUUAAAUGAUUUUAUAAAAACUGCAAAUGUACAAGGUAAUUGAGUCUUCUGUUUUAUUACCCUGAGCUGCCUGGACCUUGCCUGGCCUCCUCCUCACUCACCGAGCUGCCGGAAUAAAGUUGGAAGUGUUUGUGCUGUACUUUAAUCAGCAUUUAAUGACCCAGCCGAACAUCCAUCAUUCAGAGCCAGGCACUGGUGGGAAGGGCUAGAGGGGAAGCCUGCCUUCUUUCAUUGUCUACGGCAGGCCAUGGAGUGGUCAGCGAGUCCAGCCACACCAACUUCAUUCCCAGAGACUUCAGCAGAGGCUAAUCCUGCUCAUCUCAGGUGGGAGACAGUGAAUGGACAUUAAAGAUAGAGUCUCUGUGUUGGCUAAUCCCAUUCCCUACUCAAAUGGAGCCUAAGAAGGCUCCAGUGGGGUCAUGUCCCCAUUCCUGGAAGCCAAGCUGGGUUAAUCUAUUCCAUCUAUCCCUUUCUCCCUCUCCUCCUGAACAUUCCUACUCCUUUCCCCUCCCAGCAUGAAACCUUGCCUGAACUGGACACCCUUCUAAACCAGCCCAGGAAAAAGUGACUCAACUCAGAUUCACCCUGGUUACAGGGGGAGGGGUUUAUAACUGCCAAAGUACCUUCAUGUCUUGCAACCAUUAUUUUAGGGAGACUUCCAAGAGAGGGCAGUCGGGGUAAAUGCCUCUCACCAGCUGCCUGUUCAAACCAUUGCUCCACAUACCAUGGCUCAUAAAUCCUACCCCGACACUGCCGAGUGGUUACAUCAUCUCCAAACCUCAUGCAACAAUUCGAUUUGGAAAUAAAAAAGCAGGUGUUAAUUGACUCACUCCCUCUGCCCCUUUGUGGUGCCCCUGACCCUCGAUAGCUUUUAACCUCACAGUUAAUAAAAGUUUGGGGCCCAGUCCCAGAACAGUUCCUCAUUCAUUCUUCAUAACGUCAGCAAAUUCUUACUGAGAAACUAUAAUGUAAGUCAUUGGCCAGUCCCUUAGGGGAGAGUGUUAGGUGGCCAAAGAUGAGCAAGAAGCAUUUCAUGCCUGAGCAAAGCUUCCAGAGGAUGAUCACAAAUCAUGCAGAUUUGGGCAGCAGGUGCUAUGUGUCCCCACAGAAGACCUGGGUGCAGCCAGUUAUAGAAGAGUCUCUAGCUCUUGAAUUGAGUUCUUCUGAAUUUGCUUGCCCAGGAUCCAUCCCUCCUCCCAGAGCACCCAGAUUCUUCUUGGGGGAAUUUGUAUCCCCCUAAGCUGACAUAGUCACAAAUGGGGUUCGAAUGUCUGGGGCUCCUAGGGAUCAGCCCAUGACCAGAGCUAGCCAGUCAGAGCAGGUCAGCCCCCUGGCCACAAUGGUUAGUUCAGUGAUGGGCAUGCAACCGAAGCUAGGCUAAUAAACACGACUGCAUCAACUACUGGGGAGGAAGAGCUCUUUUUCCAAUUGGGGUUGGCCGGAAGUAAGUCUGGGGCUGUUCACAGUCUCUUGCCCUCACUCUGGAGAUGCUUCCUGAGCCCUGGAGUGAAGCCAUCACUUCACUCCCUCCUUGGUCUCUUGUACCACUGUGAACAGCUCUUGUGUGUGUAUUAUCCCGGGUCCAAGG